GGGGGGCGCGGGGGGGGGGGGGGGCGGGGGGGGGGCGAGCGGGGGGGGAGGGGGGGGGGGGGCGUGCGGGGGGCGAGGGGCGGGCGGGGGGGGAGUACAGGGGGAUCUACUUGUGCGGGGGGGAGAACGUAGGGAAACGUACGCUAAUCACGCCUACGGCCUACGGGGGAGAGCAGGGGCUCUUCAGGCCUGGCGCGACUGGAGGAGCCGAUGUCGGAUUAGCUAGUUGGCGGGGUAAAGGCCCACCAAGGCGACGAUCCGUAGCUGGUCUGAGAGGAUGAUCAGCCACACUGGAACUGAGACACGGUCCAGACUCCUACGGGAGGCAGCAGUGGGGAAUAUUGGACAAUGGGCGCAAGCCUGAUCCAGCCAUACCGCGUGGGUGAAGAAGGCCUUCGGGUUGUAAAGCCCUUUUGUUGGGAAAGAAAAGCAGCAGGUUAAUACCCCGCUGUUCUGACGGUACCCAAAGAAUAAGCACCGGCUAACUUCGUG
This 492-nucleotide ribosomal RNA is filed under the name uncultured bacterium. Its description in RNAcentral is "partial 16S ribosomal RNA". It matches the Rfam family "Bacterial small subunit ribosomal RNA", at positions 38 to 507 of the family's 1533-position model. The record is from RNAcentral.